RNAcentral lists this ribosomal RNA (497 nucleotides) under uncultured bacterium. Its description in RNAcentral is "partial 16S ribosomal RNA". It matches the Rfam family "Bacterial small subunit ribosomal RNA", at positions 28 to 507 of the family's 1533-position model. The record is from RNAcentral.
GAUGAACGCUGGCGGCGUGCCUAAUACAUGCAAGUCGAGCGAACAGACGAGGAGCUUGCUCCUCUGACGUUAGCGGCGGACGGGUGAGUAACACGUGGAUAACCUACCUAUAAGACUGGGAUAACUUCGGGAAACCGGAGCUAAUACCGGAUAAUAUAUUGAACCGCAUGGUUCAAUAGUGAAAGACGGUUUUGCUGUUACUUAUAGAUGGAUCCGCGCCGCAUUAGCUAGUUGGUAAGGUAACGGCUUACCAAGGCAAUGAUGCGUAGCCGACCUGAGAGGGUGAUCGGCCACACUGGAACUGAGACACGGUCCAGACUCCUACGGGAGGCAGCAGUAGGGAAUCUUCCGCAAUGGGCGAAAGCCUGACGGAGCAACGCCGCGUGAGUGAUGAAGGUCUUCGGAUCGUAAAACUCUGUUAUUAGGGAAGAACAAAUGUGUAAGUAACUAUGCACGUCUUGACGGUACCUAAUCAGAAAGCCACGGCUAACUACGUG